AGUGAACGCUGGCGGUAGGCCUAACACAUGCAAGUCGAACGGCAGCACAGUAAGAGUUCGCCCUUACGGGUGGCGAGUGGCGGAUGGGUGAGGCAUACAUCGGCUUCUUCUUUUUCGUGGGGGAUAACGUAGGGCAACUUACGCUAAUACCGCAUAUGACCUACGGGUGAAAGCAGGGGAUCUUCGGACCUUGCGCGAUUGAAUGAGCCGAUGUCGGAUUAGCUAGUUGGCGGGGUAAAGGCCCACCAAGGCGACGAUCCGUAGCUGGUCUGAGAGGAUGAUCAGCCACACUGGAACUGAGACACGGUCCAGACUCCUACGGGAGGCAGCAGUGGGGAAUAUUGGGCAAUGGGCGCAAGCCUGAUCCAGCCAUACCGCGUGAGUGAAGAAGGCCUUCGGAUUGUAAAACCCUUUUAUUAGGAAAGAAAAACAGCGGAAUAAUACCCCGCUGUUCUGACGGUACCCAAAGAGUAAGCACCGGCUAACUACGUG
This 492-nucleotide ribosomal RNA is filed under the name uncultured bacterium. RNAcentral's name for it is "partial 16S ribosomal RNA". It matches the Rfam family "Bacterial small subunit ribosomal RNA", at positions 29 to 507 of the family's 1533-position model. The record is from RNAcentral.